GUGAGGAAUAUUGCGCAAUGGAGGCAACCCUGACGCAGCGACGCCGCGUGGAGGACGAAGUCUUUCGGGAUGUAAACUCCUGUCAGUGGGGACGAUAAUGACGGUACCCACAGAGGAAGCACCGGCUAACUCCGUGCCAGCAGCCGCGGUAAGACGGAGGGUGCAAGCGGUGUUCGGAAUUACUGGGCGUAAAGCGUAUGUAGGCGGCAAGUUAAGUUCAAUGUUAAAGCGCACGGCUCAACCGAGGUGAUGCAUUGAAUACUGGCUAGCUAGAGGGUGUUAGAGGAAGACGGAAUUCCCAGUGUAGCGGUGAAAUGCGUAGAUAUUGGGAGGAACAUCGGUAGCGAAAGCGGUCUUCUGGGACAUACCUGACGCUGAGGUACGAAAGCGUGGGGAGCAAACGGGAUUAGAAACCCCUGUAGUCC
Molecule: ribosomal RNA, 425 nt
Filed under: uncultured bacterium
Lineage: Bacteria
Description: partial 16S ribosomal RNA
Rfam family: Bacterial small subunit ribosomal RNA
Source: RNAcentral